This 468-nucleotide ribosomal RNA is filed under the name uncultured bacterium. RNAcentral's name for it is "partial 16S ribosomal RNA". It matches the Rfam family "Bacterial small subunit ribosomal RNA", at positions 28 to 507 of the family's 1533-position model. The record is from RNAcentral.
GACGAACGCUGGCGGCGUGCUUAACACAUGCAAGUCGAACGGAAAGGCCCUGCUUUUGUGGGGUGCUCGAGUGGCGAACGGGUGAGUAACACGUGAGUAACCUGCCCUUGACUUUGGGAUAACUUCAGGAAACUGGGGCUAAUACCGGAUAGGAGCUCCUGCUGCAUGGUGGGGGUUGGAAAGUUUCGGCGGUUGGGGAUGGACUCGCGGCUUAUCAGCUUGUUGGUGGGGGAGUGGCGUACCAAGGCUUUGACGGGUAGCCGGCCUGAGAGGGUGACCGGCCACAUUGGGACUGAGAUACGGCCCAGACUCCUACGGGAGGCAGCAGUGGGGAAUAUUGCACAAUGGGCGGAAGCCUGAUGCAGCAACGCCGCGUGCGGGAUGACGGCCUUCGGGUUGUAAACCGCUUUCGCCUGUGACGAAGCGUGAGUGACGGUAAUGGGUAAAGAAGCACCGGCUAACUACGUG